UAGGGAAUCUUCGGCAAUGGACGAAAGUCUGACCGAGCAGCGCCGCGUGAGUGAAGAAGGUUUUCGGAUCGUAAAACUCUGUUGUUAGAGAAGAACAAGGGUGAGAGUAACUGUUCACCCCUUGACGGUAUCUAACCAGAAAGCCACGGCUAACUACGUGCCAG
Molecule: ribosomal RNA, 164 nt
Filed under: uncultured bacterium
Lineage: Bacteria
Description: partial 16S ribosomal RNA
Rfam family: Bacterial small subunit ribosomal RNA
Source: RNAcentral